Molecule: unclassified non-coding RNA, 328 nt
Filed under: Hevea brasiliensis (rubber tree)
Lineage: Eukaryota; Viridiplantae; Streptophyta; Magnoliopsida; Malpighiales; Euphorbiaceae
Source: RNAcentral
UGGGAGAUUCUCCAAAUCCUUCUUCAGUGAACAAGCAUGAAUAGCAUUCUUGUAUUUUGGUUUGUCAAGAGGACUUCCAAAAAGUAUAUUUUCUUCUAUGUUUCCAGAUUGUAUCCAAGGUGAUUGAGGCACAUAUGCAGAAGUACCACAUAAUCUUACUUCCCCCAUGAGUUUUGGAAUCUCCCCAAGGAUGCAAGAUAGGAAGCUUGAUUUCCCAGACCCAACAACACCACAAACAGCGACACGCAUCCCUUUCUCCACUCUCACUUGUAUUCCUGAUAAGGUUGGCCUUGGAGAAGAAGUGUCCCAGGAGAAGAGGCCAUCUUUG